Molecule: ribosomal RNA, 424 nt
Filed under: Galathea amamiensis
Lineage: Eukaryota; Metazoa; Arthropoda; Malacostraca; Decapoda; Galatheidae
Also listed under: 1 other name
Description: partial 16S ribosomal RNA
Rfam family: Bacterial large subunit ribosomal RNA (bases 292-424)
Source: RNAcentral
UUUUAAUUGAAGGCUUGUAUGAAGGGUCGGACAAAGGAUAAGCUGUCUUUAACUUUUCUUUUGAAUUUGUCUUUUAAGUGAAAAGACUUAAAUUGUUUUAAGGGACGAUAAGACCCUAUAAAGCUUUAUAUUAAUAUAUUUUUAUUUUAAUUUUUAAUGUUUAUAAAAGUAAAGGUGUAAAAUAUUAUAUUGGGGUGAUAAGAAUAAUUAAUAAACUGUUCUAAAAAAAACAAAGUUAUUUGUAAACAUAAUAGAUCCUUUAUAUAGAUUGAAAGUUUAAGUUACUUUAGGGAUAACAGCGUUAUUUUUUUUGAGAGUUCUAAUCGAAAAAAAAGUUUGCGACCUCGAUGUUGAAUUAAAAUUUCUUUAUGGUGUAGCCGUUAUAAAAGAAAGUCUGUUCGACUUUUAAAAUUUUACGUGAUCU